RNAcentral lists this long non-coding RNA (2321 nucleotides) under Equus caballus (horse). RNAcentral describes it as "lncRNA (ENSECAG00000043078.2)". The record is from RNAcentral. Lineage: Eukaryota; Metazoa; Chordata; Mammalia; Perissodactyla; Equidae.
CCACGCUCUGGGCUCAGUGCACCCACAGCUUUUCGGAAGAUCCUCACUUCCCCAAGCAUGCGUCUGCUCCUUCUCCUGGCUCCAAAGCAGGGGAUUGUCCUGACCCUGCCACAGCCGGCCGCUAGGAACACUUGGGGGUUAGGAGCUUCCUUUGUUCCUACGCAGGAGACAGAGCCUGUUGACUAGCCCUGAACCAGCCCCCGAGGCCCGAGGAACGUCUGGAGCUGGUCAUCUGAGGCCAUCCCUUGUGUGAUCACUCGCUACAGCAAGGGCAGUCGGGUUACCCUGCUUGGUUGAGACAUGAAAGCAAUCAGGGCCCACCCCUGGAGCCGGAGGUGCACGGAGCCCCUCCAGCCAACCUAGCUGCCACUUCAGGUGGAAAGGAAGAAUGUGGAUGGAGGGGAACCAAACGCACGUCUGUCUCGUUACAACGUGUUGGUCUUUGGUGAGUUUGCCCUCGGAGGAUUGCUUCCCGCUUGGCCUGCUCUGCUCUGUAUUGUCAGCGUGUGCGUGUGCGCAUGCGCGCGCAUGCCCGCAGUGGAGAGGGGCUGGUCCCCGGAGGAUGUGUUUCCCCGUCUCCCAGGGCCGCUGACUUCUCCUGGCCUCAGCCAAUGGGAAGCGUUAUUGAAGAAGCGGAGAGAAGAGGGCAGGGAGAAGCCAGAGUAUUUCUCCCCAUCUCUGUCGGCCUCGGGCAGCUUCUCUGGAAACAGCCGCCUCGCCUGCCAGGCUCCAGCUCCCCCAGACGGGCCCUUCGUCAUCUCAGCUUCCACCUGGUGGCCCCAUCCCUGGGCCCCGAAACCACCACCUUGUGUCCCUCCAGCCUACGGGUGGGGGCUUCCUGCCGUUCCCAGGUUCCAGGGCGCACGCGUCACCACCCUGUUGGGUCUCAGCAGCUCCACCCCUGUGUAAACCACUUCCCUCUGUUCCACUCCACCGUCUCGCUGGACUAAACAAGCCUUGUAAGCCGUCUCCCUACCCCCUGCCCUGGCCUCUUGCUCCAAUCCAUUCUUCACACAGCAGUGUGAAAUGUUCCUGUGCCAAGAAAGUGCCUGGCUCACUGCAGAUCCUUGACGCUGCUGGGGAGUGAAUAAGUGAGGUCUGAGAGGAGGGCAGCGUCAAGGGAUGAAGACGUUGGCUCCUUACCCACUGGUCUGGCAUCUUGGUGGACACCCUGACUGUCCAGGGUGGCUGGAACCUCUUACCUGCUGCUUCUCUCCCUCCACCCUGCACCCACCUACCCCUCUCCCUGCCUGAGAGUCAGCUCACUCCCUUCCACCACCACCCCACCACCCCCGCAGCCCCUGCCACCACCAGAAGGAGCGGAUGGGAGGGGCAGCCUCAAGACCACAGGCGCUACCCAACUCAACUAUGGGGAACUUAUGAUACGUUAAAAACAACAGAUUUAAGAGGAGCUCGAGCAAAGAAGACAGACAUUCAAUGUUAGCUAAGGCCUCAAAAUAAAAUAUUGACUUCAAGACAGACUUUUUGAAAGACUCUGGCAGAAGCCAAUAAAAAGAAUUCAUUUUCACUUAAAUCUUCUGAAACCCACCCUCCUUGCAUCUUUUUCUCCAUACUGUAAAUUAUCUUUACUCACCGACACCCAAUUAUACCUCUCCUGCUCCUUCUUCUCCUUCCCCUGACCUGCUAGGUCAACUACCUGUUCCCAGCAUUUUUCUCAGGAAAGGGUCACAUUUCACAGUAUGCCCUCAAAAUUGCUCGGCUAAAAGGCUGAUCUGGAAGUCAAAUUUAAGUUAAGGGCUAUAAUUAAGGAUUCCAAAACCUCAGGAAGACAGACAAAAGAAGUCUGCAGAAUUAUGGAUUUUGUUAGUUAGUUACUAUCCUGGAUGACCAGAUCCAUACCAAUGAGUUCACUCAACUUUAAGCCCCUCACGUGGGGGAAUGUUUAAGAGAAUGGGAAAAGCCAAGGAAGGAUUUAAAUAACCCAGCUGCACAUGAUUCAGAUAUUGGCCUUGAGAGGACAAGCAAACUAGAAAAUGAAAUACAUAUGGCCAUUACCGAAGUCUUCCCCUUAAAGGGAGAUUGGACAAAAAGUCAAAGUUGUGAAUAAAAUGAAGAUGACUCAGUAGGACACUAGACUUCAGGAAACCUUUCAACAAUAUUCUAAGAUCCAUCUAGCAGCUGAAGUAAAAGGAGCCUUACCCUCUCUUUUUAGAAAUAGACUCACAUCUCAGAUAGAAAACUUAGUCAGAAAAAUAAAUUGGAGUGGGAAAUUGCCAAUUUAGAAGAUCUGCAAAGUGCAGCUUAACAUUUUCAAAAAGCCCUAGAAAAUAAACAAGCUAGAAAUGAAAACAAACUCUUGG